This 493-nucleotide ribosomal RNA is filed under the name uncultured bacterium. RNAcentral describes it as "partial 16S ribosomal RNA". It matches the Rfam family "Bacterial small subunit ribosomal RNA", at positions 28 to 505 of the family's 1533-position model. The record is from RNAcentral.
GACGAACGCUGGCGGCGUGCCUAAUACAUGCAAGUAGAACGCUGAAGGAGGAGCUUGCUUCUCCGGAUGAGUUGCGAACGGGUGAGUAACGCGUAGGUAACCUGCCUGGUAGCGGGGGAUAACUAUUGGAAACGAUAGCUAAUACCGCAUAACAGUAGAUAUUGCAUGAUAUCUGCUUGAAAGGUGCAAUUGCAUCACUACCAGAUGGACCUGCGUUGUAUUAGCUAGUUGGUGAGGUAACGGCUCACCAAGGCGACGAUACAUAGCCGACCUGAGAGGGUGAUCGGCCACACUGGGACUGAGACACGGCCCAGACUCCUACGGGAGGCAGCAGUAGGGAAUCUUCGGCAAUGGACGGAAGUCUGACCGAGCAACGCCGCGUGAGUGAAGAAGGUUUUCGGAUCGUAAAGCUCUGUUGUAAGAGAAGAACGAGUGUGAGAGUGGAAAGUUCACACUGUGACGGUAUCUUACCAGAAAGGGACGGCUAACUACG